CCUACGGGAGGCAGCAGUCGAGAAUCAUUCACAAUGGGGGAAACCCUGAUGGUGCGACGCCGCGUGGGGGAAUGAAGGUCUUCGGAUUGUAAACCCCUGUCAUGUGGGAGCAAAUUAAAAAGAUAGUACCAUAAGAGGAAGAGACGGCUAACUCUGUGCCAGCAGCCGCGGUAAUACAGAGGUCUCAAGCGUUGUUCGGAAUCCCUGGGCGUAAAGCGUGCGUAGGCUGUUUCGUAAGUUGGGUGUGAAAGGCGCGGGCUCAACCCGCGAACGGCACCUGAUACUGCGAGACUAGAGUAAUGGAGGGGGAGCCGGAAUUCUCGGUGUAGCAGUGAAAUGCGUAGAUAUCGAGAGGAACACUCGUGGCGAAGGCGGGUUCCUAGACAAUAACUGACGCUGAGGCACGAAGGCGAGGGGAGCGAAAGGGAUUAGAUACCCGAGUAGUC
RNAcentral lists this ribosomal RNA (446 nucleotides) under uncultured bacterium. RNAcentral describes it as "partial 16S ribosomal RNA". It matches the Rfam family "Bacterial small subunit ribosomal RNA", at positions 338 to 795 of the family's 1533-position model. The record is from RNAcentral.